This is a non-coding RNA of Schizosaccharomyces pombe (fission yeast), 923 nucleotides long. NCBI's taxonomy places the organism in Eukaryota, Fungi, Ascomycota, Schizosaccharomycetes, Schizosaccharomycetales, Schizosaccharomycetaceae. The record is from the annotation of a GenBank genome assembly.
UCAAAAAUGCUAAGCAUUGCAUGGGCAAUUUCGUCGAAAUUUCCGGUUGCUAGUGCAAGAACGGUAGGACCAGCACCAGAAAGACAAAUGCCGCACAAACCAGGUUGAGUGUCAGGGUUAAGAGUUGCAAGAAUGUUCUGCAAGCCUGGGAUCAACGAAGCACGAUAUGGUUGGUGAACUUUAUCCUUCAUCACUUCAUAAACUAAAUGAGGAUUUAUGGGAGUUUGGCCUAACGCAGUUGUGAGCAAAGCCAAGCGUUGCAAAUUAUAAACCACAUCAGUUCUACCAUAAGAAGUAGGAAGCACACUCCGUGCUUUAGAAGUUGCUAAAUGGAAUUCAGGGAUUACGACAAUUGCCUUUAAUUCAGAAGCCCAUGGAAGCCUGGCAAAAGUACCUAAAGACUUGGGAGGUAAAGUUAAGGCUUCGUUUUUCAAUAAAUCAUCAGCAGAUGGAGAAAAUGCAUUCUUUUCUUCCUCAGAUAGUUCUCUGAGAAAUGAACCUACGAAUCCACCCAUCAUGGACGCCAUUACAUUGUCUGGGUGUCUUUCUAUCAUUAGAACAUAAUCCAUCAUUUGCAGUUUGGAUAGACCAAGUUUUGCAAUCUCGUUUGCAAGCAUAACACCUGCAAUGGCAGCCGAUCCACUAGAUCCCAUACCACGACCGAGAGGAAUGGGAUUUAUAACGUGUAUUUUGGUAGCAUAGGGAAAUGUAGAAAUGUUGUUGCAACGUAAGACAUAUAAAGAGGUUUGUGUUAUCAUGUUUUUCUGGACAUCCAAGGAAACGUGUUCCUUACCGUCUCCUUCAUAUGUCAAGACACAAGGUCCGCUUUCUGUGGAUACUUCCACAUCAAGGGUCAUGUAUUCCUCAAGAGACAUUCCCAAGACAUCGAAACCAGGUCCAAUGUUAGCGGACGAAGCUGGAAC